AUGCGUAAGGCAUAGUUAUUCCUCCCGGAACGGAACCGGUAAAGUGAGCAUUCUUCAAGAAAGGGAUGGUGUAUUACAUCCCUAUAGCAUCAAUCGUAUCAAAGUUAAUCAUUUGAUUAGCCAGGCUAAUUUGCAACAUCAAAUUAGCUGUUUCGAUUAGUUGGCAUCGUAAAAAGCACGUAUAAAACCUUUUGAUACUAUUGCAAAGUUUAAACUAAACAAAAUCCGCAAAUAAGUUGAUAUGAAUACACAUAUCAGCUUUUUU
Molecule: small RNA, 265 nt
Filed under: Clostridium sp. CAG:307
Lineage: Bacteria; Bacillati; Bacillota; Clostridia; Eubacteriales; Clostridiaceae
Description: FuFi-1 RNA
Rfam family: FuFi-1 RNA
Source: Rfam by way of RNAcentral